GUCAAAUCAUCAUGCCCCUUAUGCUUAGGGCUACACACGUGCUACAAUGGGUAGUACAGAGGGUUGCCAAGCCGUAAGGUGGAGCUAAUCCCUUAAAGCUACUCUCAGUUCGGAUUGUAGGCUGAAACUCGCCUACAUGAAGCUGGAGUUACUAGUAAUCGCAGAUCAGAAUGCUGCGGUGAAUGCGUUCCCGGGUCUUGUACACACCGCCCGUCACACCACGGGAGUUGGAGACGCCCGAAGCCGAUUAUCUAACCUUUUGGAAGAAGUCGUCGAAGGGGGAAUCAAUAACUGGGGUGAAGUCGUAACAAGGUAGCCGUAUCGGAAGGGGCGGCUGGAUCACCUCCUUUCUAAGGAGA
This 359-nucleotide ribosomal RNA is filed under the name Clostridioides difficile. RNAcentral describes it as "bacterial SSU rRNA". It matches the Rfam family "Bacterial small subunit ribosomal RNA", at positions 1184 to 1533 of the family's 1533-position model. Lineage: Bacteria; Bacillati; Bacillota; Clostridia; Peptostreptococcales; Peptostreptococcaceae. The record is from RNAcentral.